UAAUACGGAGGGGGCCAGCGUUGCUCGGAAUCACUGGGCGUAAAGGGCUCGUAGGCGGUUUGAUAAGUCCUGUGUGAAAUCCCUUGGCUCAACCAAGGAAUGGCGCAGGAUACUGUCAUACUUGAGGCCGGGAGAGGGAAGCGGAAUUCCCAGUGUAGCGGUGAAAUGCGUAGAUAUUGGGAGGAACACCGGUGGCGAAGGCGGCUUCCUGGACCGGUUCUGACGCUGAGGAGCGAAAGCCAGGGGAGCAAACAGGAUUAGAUACCCUGGUAGUCCUGGCUGUAAACGAUGGGCGCUUGGUGUUGCGGGUAUCGACCCCUGCAGUGCCGGAGCUAACGCAUUAAGCGCCCCGCCUGGGGAGUACGGUCGCAAGGCUG
This 377-nucleotide ribosomal RNA is filed under the name uncultured bacterium. Its description in RNAcentral is "bacterial SSU rRNA". It matches the Rfam family "Bacterial small subunit ribosomal RNA", at positions 521 to 896 of the family's 1533-position model. The record is from RNAcentral.